Molecule: ribosomal RNA, 208 nt
Filed under: uncultured bacterium
Lineage: Bacteria
Description: partial 16S ribosomal RNA
Rfam family: Bacterial small subunit ribosomal RNA
Source: RNAcentral
AGCGUAGACGGUGUGGCAAGUCUGAUGUGAAAGGCAUGGGCUCAACCUGUGGACUGCAUUGGAAACUGUCAUACUUGAGUGCCGGAGGGGUAAGCGGAAUUCCUAGUGUAGCGGUGAAACGCGUAGAUAUUAGGAGGAACACCAGUGGCGAAGGCGGCUUACUGGACGGUAACUGACGUUGAGGCUCGAAAGCGUGGGGAGCAAACGA